AAAAGGGUGGAAUUGUCCUUAAGAAUAUAAAAAUGGUAGGAUGAACGCUAAGAUGGUAAUCCUUAACACCUCAAGUAUUUGGUAAUGGUACACACCUGAUACUAGGCUUAUCUAAACGCACUAAAGAAACAGGCCUUCUGCAGUCAAAAGGUGAUGCUUUUGUCACGCAACUUUUGAGGGUCAGGGUACAAAUAAGAACAGACAUGGAUGGAGGUAAUAUAGAGAAGGGAGGAGUUGUUAAACAGGAUCCAAGUUGCAGUGGAGGUGAAUUCCACAUUCAGAACAAUACUAAAUCCUUAAGUUUCAAGUUUACAGCUACUGAAACCCACUGAAGAGGUAACACUGCCCAUUUCUGGAGCCAGUCAGGGCUUUCAGCAACCUCUCAAGGCUCAGAAGUGGAGACUGGAACGUCCACAAUCUAAAUUUCACACACUUUUUGUGGAAAAAGUUACAAUAGAUGAACAAUAAGGACAUAUGCAUUGUAGGCUUGGCCCUACACCAAAAAAAAAAAAAAAAAGUUUACUGGCCCAGAUACAGAGAUGUGUUGGUGUACCAAAAACACUCACAGCUAUAUGGAGACAGCAGAGCCUGGAAAAGAACCAGGUCCUGAGGUUUUGCAGUUAAAAGUUAUGAUGGGGAUAAGAAAAAAAUUGUUGGCUCAUUUCUGAAAUGUUUGCUCAUCUUUUACCAAAAAUGUCAUUUACAUAUUAGGAAACUGAUUGGGAAGACUUUGGUUAAGAUAAAGCCAAAGUAAAUUUUGGUCCAUCUUGACCUUGAACCAGUUUGGAAAUCUGAACAAGAGUUUUUGGAUUAUUUGGGGUUUUUUUUUUUUUUUUUUUUUUUGGUGUAUGGGAGGGCAUAGCAAAGACACGGCAGUGUGUGAACGGGAAGUAUAGCACAAGCUGAGGAAGUCUGGCAUUUGAAAAGUAUCGCCUUUAAACAUGCACGUAUAAAUUCCUGCCUGUAAAAGAAAGAAAAAAUUUUAAGAUGCAUUUAUAAGUUUUAGAUAAUCUGGUUAUAUUUUAUAAAUCUAUAUAUAAGUAUAGAUGUUUACUAAUCUAGAUUUGUUUCAAAACUCAAUCUCUGCAUUUGAAUCAAAAAUAAACUUUUACGGCUGAGUAGCAGGUGAAAUGAUGGGGAAACCAGGAAACAGAAACUGCUAAUUCGAUUAAUAAUAAGCCAGUCACACGAUUUCUAAACUGCCUCUAAUCCAAAAAACCUCUACCUUUUCUAAUCUCAUACUGAUUAUUCUACGAGAUGACAAACUCUCAAUAUGACCUCCUCCUAUCCUCAACAAUUCUUGAAGGAAAAGAAAAAGAAACUUCUAAGGAAAUUUUUUAAAUGCUGAAUUUCUCUGGCAUUGAGCCAUGUGUAGAUUAAACAUCACUUAAUCCUCCAACAGCUCUAAGGCAGUGGUUUACAAGCUACAGCGUACAUUACAAUCACCUGGAGGACUUGUUUUAGAGAUUGUUGGGCUCCACCCCCAGAGUCUCCGAUUCAGUAAUGGGGGAACGCCCACCCAGGUGGUGAUGCUGCUGCUGCUGCGGCAGGUGGGGGCACUCUGAGAAGCGCUGCACUAAGGUAAUAUUAACGUGUGGCCCUCGUUCUGGGAAACGCGUGCUGUCUGCAGCAGAAAUUGCCAAGAUUUUGAAAACUUUUAUAGCAGUUUACCAUUACAUGGCAUCGAAGCACGUGAACAUUUUUCUAGUAUUUCACCCUUAUUGUAUUUUCCCAAAGUACUGAUGUGAGAACGACUAGAAAGUUGUCCAAGUUUGUGGAGCAUCGCUUUAAGCUGACCCAGCAUACGGCAGCCCCUGCCCCUGGGGACAGCGGGGCCGACCUAGGGCACGAGGGGUGACUAGGGGUGACUCAGCCAGAACACUGGCCUGAGACGCAGUUCCACACUUAAGGUUUUCAUCGUCUCGUCUCAUUCCGGCAUUUCCCGGGACAACACUCGCACCAGCCCCGCUGCAGGUGCCCUGGGUCCCGGCGGCCGGCGCAGAGGAGACAAGAAAGGAGGGCGCAGGCACAGCGCCGCGGGCGCCCGCGAGCAAGGCCAGACCCCAGCGGCACAUUUCCUGCCCAAAACUUGGGGCCGCGACGGUAUGCACUCCGGGACUCAAACCCCAGGAUCAAGUACUAAGAAAACAGCCAGAGAGAGACUUUUCCAAUCACCUCCCACAACUGGAGUGAAGAAUCAGGAUACAGUGGACAAAAUAAGACAUGAAGUGUAAGGAUGUUGUUUCAGGCUGCACACGUGUCCCAGAGAAGAAGAAACCAAGCAUCGUGAUAGAACUCUGUUGAGCCAGGCAAAGUAUGAAUGGUCUGAUCUUCCUCCAUCAUGGAAAGAAACUUAUACUGAUUCAUCAAGAAGCAGGGAUAGAAGCCUGUUUAUAUUGUUAUUUAUUUUAGAGACUAUAAAAGUGACUAACCAAAAGAACCAAAACAGGGAUGGUUGGGAAAAACGUGGUUAUCUUUGGGCAGUGAGGCCACCUUGACUGGAAGACUGCCCAAGAGUGAAGGUGACAAAGGAACCAAGAUCAGGAGACCAAGAAAAGAGGACAAUCCAGAUCCAACAAUAUCGCUAGAGUCCCUUGGUCAAGCUGAAUAUGGAAAUGAGCUUUUCCCUAUGUAAGCCAAUAAAGUCUGCUUUUGAGUUGGGUUUCUGGAACUUGCCAUUAAAAAUGCCCAAUACAUGCCAACUACUCCUCCCCUUUCCCUCCCACCUCCCCUCCAGUUAAGGUCUUUGCCUUCUCAUCUUUAUAAACUUGCAUUGCCAGAUGCCUUGUGUAUAUAUUUACAUAAGAAGUUCAAAGUUCCUAGGUAUGCGAGUUAAUAGUGGAAUUAUUUAAUUGAUAAGUCCAAGUUUAUCUAGCAGUGCUGUAAGGAAGUCCAGGUGCAGUCGCUUAUGCCUGUAACCCCAACACCUUGGGAGGCCGAGGCAGGAGGAUCGCUUGAGUCCAGAAGCUCAAGACCAGCCUGAGCAAUAUAGUGGAGACCCCGUCUUUAAAAUUUUUUGUUUAAUUAGCUGGGCAUGAUGGCAGAUGCCUGCAGUUCCAACUACUCUGAAGGCUGAGACAGGAGGAUCACUUGAGGCCAGGAAUUGGAGGCUGUAGUAAGCUACGAUUUCACCACUGCAUUCUAGCCUGGAUGAUGGAGCAAGACCCUGUUUCUAAACAAGAAUAAAAAUAAACAGUAAUUUUUUUUUUUUUUUUGAGACUGAGUCUCUCUUUGCUGCCUAUGCUGGAUUGCAGUGCUGCGAUCUCAGCUCACUGCAACCUCCACCUCCCAGAGUCAAGCAAUUCUCCUGCCUUAGCCUCCUGGGUAGCUGGGAUUAGAGACACCCACCACCACUCCUGGCUAUUUUUUAUUUUUUUAUUUUUUAUUGUUAGUAGAGAUGGGGUUUCACCAUGUUGGGCCAGGCUGGUCUCGAACUCCUGACAUCAAGUGAUCUGCCCGCCUCGGCCUCCCAAACUGCUGGGAUUACAGGUGUAAAAGAUUUUUAAAAGUAAGGAGGAGGCCGAGGUGGGAGGAUGGCUUGAGCCCAGGAGUUCAAGUUAGGCAACAUGACAAAAUCCUGUCUCUGCAAAAAAUAUAAAAAUUAGUUGGGCAUGGUGGCAUGUGCCUGUAAUCCCAGCUACUUGGAGGUUGAGGUGAGAGAAUCACCUGAGCCCAGAAGGCCAAGGCUGCAUUGAGCCAUGAUGAAGCCACUGUACUCCAGCCUGAGCGUCGGAGUGAGACCAUGUCUCAAAAAAAAAAAAAAAAAAAAGGAGGCAAUGAUGAUUUGAAGCGACCAGAUUGUCUGCCUCAGUUGAGUUUCUGGGUUUGGAGCCUCUCUGGUAGCCACAACAAGAAUAUUCUUGGAUUGAGCCCCAAAGUUCUGCUGGUUGAACAAAAUGCAUGGCUGUCUUCUUCCAUUUUUAGAAUCAUAGAGUCCUGGAAUACCAGAAAUGAAAGGGUUUUAGAGAUCACCUAGUGUAACACCCCCAUUUUUACACAUGAGAAACUGGGACCCUGGGAGCUUCCAUGGUUUGCUCAGAGGACACUCUGAGGGUGAGUGGCAGAACCAAGACUGGAAGCUGGGUUUCUCCAGGCUCACAGUCCCUGGCUCCUUGUGUUGAGUCUUUGGGGAGGAGGAAGAAAAAUGAGAGCAAAAUGAUAGGGUCAGGACUGCAGAAUCAAAUGAGAAGCACCAACCGAGAUAGGAAGGUUUCUUGAAUGACAAUGACUGACACCUGGGUCUAUGCAGGGGGCCUCCCUGCUCAGGACUUUCUCUGAGUGUGGCCCAGGCUAAGGAAUUCUGAGGCCCUUCUGAUGCUAAGACCUUGGAUCUGGGAGACUAAGACAUGUGGACUGGUAAAUCCUUCCUGUGUCUUCUAGGUGUGCAGAAGCGCACAAGGACACCUCCCAGCUGGCGUCAUUGAGGCCGGCAGCAUUUUGACAUGUGGGUCAGGGUUCUCUGGGUCAUACUGUCAUGUUUUGAACUCUUUUCUGUUGGAGAAAAUUUUACUAUUUUUUCAAACCCAAUCAAUAGUAUGGUAUAGUCUUGUUUAAAUGUCACAUAAUCGCACUGAAGAAACAUCUAAAGGAGAAAAAAAGAACUACCUUUAGCCUCACAACCUUCACCCUAUAACUGACUUCCCUUUUGCUUUUUCUCUUCUGGCCCUUGUCCAUGUGCACACAUAAUUUUGCUUGGUUGUAAUGAGAAGACACAUACAAUUUUGUAUUAAAGCAAUAAAGUUUUAAUGAUGUAUAGAUAUACAAAGAAAAUAGCUAUAAAGCAAUAUUUAUGCAGGUUUGUAGGGGAAAAAUCCAUUUUAAAGGAGACAGUAUGGAAUAAUAGAACAUCUUAGAGUAGUCCAUUUGGGAUAGUGCUUAUAAGACUUUAAUAACAUUUCUUCUCUUUCCUUUUUAUAUUGUUCCUUAACCAAGUCAUGAUGAAAUAAAUGUUAUAUAUGUUCAGCUUAUAUUUGUGCCAUUUGAUUUUUAAAACAAUCAUGGUGCUUCACAAGAAAAAAAAAUAUCAUAGAUCUUGGUGACUUCCACCCCAGUGAGAGGCCAGUUUUCCAUAGCAUUUGGUUUUAUGUAAGCAAAGCCUAAUUUUUGUAUCCUCUGUCUUGCCAUGCAAAAUCAGCCAACCUCAAGUAAUAAGCAAACAAGCAUCGACCUAUUAUUUACUGUGCAUCUAGUGCUGGUCAUUAUAAGGUUCACAAAAUGGUAGACCUUUGCCCACAAGGUCCUUUCAAACUCCUUGAAAAAUGGAGGCAAAAGUACAUUAUUGAACUCUCAGUGAAUUGACCUGAUGUAUUAUAUAUUUAAUUGUCUGUUUGUUUUCUGUCUAUAUUCUCCUUAUACUGUAAGAAACAUUUGCUAUUCCUAAUUCUGGAGGCUGGGAAGUCCAAGAUCAAGGUGCCCGCAGAUCCAGUGUCUGGUGAGGGUUGCUUCCUGGCUUGUAGACAGUUGUCUUCUCUCUGUAUCCUCACAGAGCAGAGGCAGUGAGUGAGCUCUGGUUAGAUCAUCUCUUUAUAAGGACACCGGUUCCACCAUGGGGGCUCAACCCUGUGACCUCUUCCACACCCAAUUACCUCCUAGAGGCCCCAUCUUCAAACACCACCGCACUGGGAACUAGGGCCUCAACAUG
Molecule: long non-coding RNA, 5641 nt
Filed under: Homo sapiens (human)
Lineage: Eukaryota; Metazoa; Chordata; Mammalia; Primates; Hominidae
Description: HSALNT0345156
Source: RNAcentral